RNAcentral lists this long non-coding RNA (285 nucleotides) under Ananas comosus (pineapple). Its description in RNAcentral is "long non-coding RNA (ACOM_LNC004578)". Lineage: Eukaryota; Viridiplantae; Streptophyta; Magnoliopsida; Poales; Bromeliaceae. The record is from RNAcentral.
AUGUAUACGCAAAUUUUGCAUUUUCUAUAGUUUGCUAGUUUAGAAUAUGUUUAGUCUGAUUAACAAGUUAAAACAUUUGAGAUUAGUUUUAACAUUUACACCUAGUAGCUCUUUUUUAUAUUGUGUUGCAUUAAUCAGUUCACGUGUACACCUAGUAGCUCUUUUUUAUAUUGUGUUGCAUUAAUCAGUUCACGUGAGAAACUUCGGGCGAUGGAGGAAACAUUGGCCAAGGGGAAGCAAAUUCAAGAAAACUGCUCUGCUGUUAUCAACAAACUCCAGGCGAUU